RNAcentral lists this microRNA (22 nucleotides) under Populus tomentosa. RNAcentral describes it as "Pto-N29". Lineage: Eukaryota; Viridiplantae; Streptophyta; Magnoliopsida; Malpighiales; Salicaceae. The record is from RNAcentral.
AUAAUAAAGAAAUUAACUGGGC